GACGAACGCUGGCGGCGUGCCUAAUACAUGCAAGUUGAGCGCUGAAGGUUGGUACUUGUACCGACUGGAUGAGCAGCGAACGGGUGAGUAACGCGUGGGGAAUCUGCCUUUGAGCGGGGGACAACAUUUGGAAACGAAUGCUUAUACCGCAUAAAAACUUUAAACACAAGUUUUAAGUUUGAAAGAUGCAAUUGCAUCACUCAAAGAUGAUCCCGCGUUGUAUUAGCUAGUUGGUGAGGUAAAGGCUCACCAAGGCGAUGAUACAUAGCCGACCUGAGAGGGUGAUCGGCCACAUUGGGACUGAGACACGGCCCAAACUCCUACGGGAGGCAGCAGUAGGGAAUCUUCGGCAAUGGACGAAAGUCUGACCGAGCAACGCCGCGUGAGUGAAGAAGGUUUUCGGAUCGUAAAACUCUGUUGGUAGAGAAGAACGUUGGUGAGAGUGGAAAGCUCAUCAAGUGACGGUAACUACCCAGAAAGGGACGGCUAACUACGUG
RNAcentral lists this ribosomal RNA (497 nucleotides) under uncultured bacterium. RNAcentral's name for it is "partial 16S ribosomal RNA". It matches the Rfam family "Bacterial small subunit ribosomal RNA", at positions 28 to 507 of the family's 1533-position model. The record is from RNAcentral.